UAGAGUUUGAUCAUGGCUCAGGAUGAACGCUAGCGACAGGCUUAACACAUGCAAGUCGAGGGGCAGCGGGUAGAUGAGCUUGCUCAUUUAUGCCGGCGACCGGCGCACGGGUGAGUAACACGUAUGCAACCUGCCCGUCUCAGGGGGAUAAUCGUCGGAAACGGCGUCUAAUACCCCGUAUGAAGCUGGACGGCAUCGUCUGGUUUUGAAAGAAUAUCGGAGACGGAUGGGCAUGCGGCGCAUUAGCUGGUUGGCGGGGUAACGGCCCACCAAGGCAACGAUGCGUAGGGGUUCUGAGAGGAAGGUCCCCCACACUGGUACUGAGACACGGACCAGACUCCUACGGGAGGCAGCAGUGAGGAAUAUUGGUCAAUGGGCGAGAGCCUGAACCAGCCAAGUCGCGUGAGGGAGUACUGCCCUAUGGGUUGUAAACCUCUUUUGUCGGGGAGCAAAAGCCGGACGUGUCCGUCUGUGAGAGUACCCGAAGAAAAAGCAUCGGCUAACUCCGUGCCAGCAGCCGCGGUAAUACGGAGGAUGCGAGCGUUAUCCGGAUUUAUUGGGUUUAAAGGGUGCGCAGGCGGAUUUUUAAGUCAGCGGUCAAAUCGUGGGGCUCAACCCCAUCCAGCCGUUGAAACUGGGGAUCUAGAGUGUGCGAGAGGUAUGCGGAAUGCGUGGUGUAGCGGUGAAAUGCAUAGAUAUCACGCAGAACCCCGAUUGCGAAGGCAGCAUACCGGUGCACAACUGACGCUCAGGCACGAAAGCGUGGGUAUCGAACAGGAUUAGAUACCCUGGUAGUCCACGCAGUAAACGAUGAAUGCUACCUGUUUGGCCAGAUUGAUGGCUGA
This 845-nucleotide ribosomal RNA is filed under the name uncultured bacterium. RNAcentral's name for it is "bacterial SSU rRNA". It matches the Rfam family "Bacterial small subunit ribosomal RNA", at positions 1 to 842 of the family's 1533-position model. The record is from RNAcentral.